RNAcentral lists this ribosomal RNA (434 nucleotides) under uncultured Clostridium sp. RNAcentral's name for it is "partial 16S ribosomal RNA". It matches the Rfam family "Bacterial small subunit ribosomal RNA", at positions 341 to 792 of the family's 1533-position model. Lineage: Bacteria; Bacillati; Bacillota; Clostridia; Eubacteriales; Clostridiaceae. The record is from RNAcentral. RNAcentral also lists the same sequence under 1 other name.
ACGGGAGGCAGCAGUGGGGAAUAUUAGGCAAUGGGGGAAACCCUGACCUAGCGACGCCGCGUGAAGGAUGAAGGUUUUCGGAUUGUAAACUUCUUUGGCAGAGGACGAUAAUGACGGUACUCUGAGAACAAGCCACGGCUAACUACGUGCCAGCAGCCGCGGUAAUACGUAGGUGGCGAGCGUUGUCCGGAUUUACUGGGUGUAAAGGGCGAGUAGGCGGGCUAACAAGUCAGAUGUGAAAUACCGAGGCUCAACUUCGGGGCUGCAUUUGAAACUGUAAGUCUUGAGUGAUGGAGAGGCAGGCGGAAUUCCCAGUGUAGCGGUAAAAUGCAUAGAGAUUGGGAGGAACACCAGUGGCGAAGGCGGCCUGCUGGACAUUAACUGACGCUGAGGAGCGAAAGUGUGGGGAGCAAACAGGAUUAGAUACCCUGGUA